Molecule: ribosomal RNA, 253 nt
Filed under: uncultured bacterium
Lineage: Bacteria
Description: partial 16S ribosomal RNA
Rfam family: Bacterial small subunit ribosomal RNA
Source: RNAcentral
UACGGAGGGGGCGAGCGUUGUUCGGAAUCAUUGGGCGUAAAGGGCGCGUAGGCGGCCGUCCAAGUCGGGUGUGAAAUCCCUCGGCUCAACCGAGGAACUGCACUCGAUACUGGUCGGCUAGAGUCCGGGAGGGGAUGGUGGAAUUCCCAGUGUAGCGGUGAAAUGCGUAGAUAUUGGGAAGAACACCGGUGGCGAAGGCGGCCAUCUGGACCGGAACUGACGCUGAGGCGCGAAAGCCAGGGGAGCGAAUGGG